AAGAAAAGGAUCCUCCACUGUAUAUCCUGUGCUGAGGGAGAGACACAUACUACAAGGAGAGUGCCCCAAAGGGUUCAGAUCAUAGGCUGGGUUCAAAUACCUUGUGUGCCUUCAUGAGGGAAAUUAAUUUUUUUCAGGUUAAAUUUAUUCAUUCUAAAGGAUGGACCUUUGUGGGUUCUCAACUUCUGGAGUGCAACUAUAUGUCUUUUUUUUUUUGCUUGUCACCUUUUCUAUACACAUGCAACCUCUUCUUCAGCAUGAAGAAACUCUGGGAGCAAUGGAAGAGUCACUCUUUGAUGUUACUCAGGAAAAAUGCAUAAGUAAUCCAGGAACCUUAUAAUGUAGGCUCAACUAUCUACACUGCACAAUGAAGUUUUCUUAGGCUUUUUCCCCUUGUCUUCAUAUACUUGGCCUGCUUGGGUGUGCACAGCCAUGCAGUGAUGAUAGACAAAUGAGAAUGAGCAAAAGCCAUGGUGGAAAAUCUUGUGGUCUCAUGGAGUUAAUGUUCUGAAGGAGACAUCCAGGUAGACAAAAAUCAAGAGCUCUUUUCUACAGGUUUUCUAUCACUCUGAUUCAUGUUAAUGAACUU
Molecule: long non-coding RNA, 589 nt
Filed under: Ictidomys tridecemlineatus (thirteen-lined ground squirrel)
Lineage: Eukaryota; Metazoa; Chordata; Mammalia; Rodentia; Sciuridae
Description: lncRNA (ENSSTOG00000032598.1)
Source: RNAcentral